GCCUUUCCCUGGAGGUCAGACGGUUGU
RNAcentral lists this non-coding RNA (27 nucleotides) under Cricetulus griseus (Chinese hamster). Lineage: Eukaryota; Metazoa; Chordata; Mammalia; Rodentia; Cricetidae. The record is from RNAcentral.